This 797-nucleotide ribosomal RNA is filed under the name delta proteobacterium SCGC AAA003-G16. RNAcentral's name for it is "SSU rRNA". It matches the Rfam family "Bacterial small subunit ribosomal RNA", at positions 56 to 870 of the family's 1533-position model. Lineage: Bacteria; Deltaproteobacteria. The record is from RNAcentral.
UGCAGUCGACGAGAAGUUCCUUCGGGAGCGAUUAAAGUGGCGCACGGGUGAGUAACGCGUAGACAAUCUGCCCUUCAGUCUGGGACAACUUUUCGAAAGGAGAGCUAAUACCGGAUAACAAUGUUUAACCUAAGUUAAGUAUUUGAAAGCUUUAUGUGCUGAAGGAGGGGUCUGCGUCCCAUUAGCUAGUUGGUAAGGUAAAGGCUUACCAAGGCGACGAUGGGUAGCGGGUUUGAGAGGACGAUCCGCCACACUGGAACUGAGACACGGUCCAGACUCCUACGGGAGGCAGCAGUGGGGAAUAUUGCACAAUGGAGGCAACUCUGAUGCAGCAAUGUCGCGUGAGUGAAGAAGGCCCUUGGGUCGUAAAGCUCUUUUAUGGGGGAAGAUGAUGACGGUACCCCAAGAAUAAGCACCGGCUAACUAUGUGCCAGCAGCCGCGGUAAUACAUAGGGUGCGAGCGUUGUUCGGAAUUACUGGGCGUAAAGGGCGCGCAGGCGGAAUAGUAAGUCGGAGGUGAAAGCCCGGGGCUCAACCCCGGAGGGUCUUUCGAAACUGCUAAUCUAGAGAGGGUCAGGGGCCGGCAGAAUUCCUGGUGUAGAGGUGAAAUUCGUAGAUAUCAGGAGGAAUACCGGUGGCGAAGGCGGCCGGCUGGGGCCACUCUGACGCUGAGGCGCGAAAGCGUGGGGAGCAAACAGGAUUAGAUACCCUGGUAGUCCACGCCGUAAACGAUGAGCACUGGACGUCCGGAGGGUUCGACCCCUUCUGGGUGUUUCAGCUAACGCAUUAAGUGCUCC